This 478-nucleotide ribosomal RNA is filed under the name uncultured bacterium. Its description in RNAcentral is "partial 16S ribosomal RNA". It matches the Rfam family "Bacterial small subunit ribosomal RNA", at positions 28 to 523 of the family's 1533-position model. The record is from RNAcentral.
GACGAACGCUGGCGGCGUGCUUAACACAUGCAAGUCGAACGGUAAGGCCCUUCGGGGUACACGAGUGGCGAACGGGUGAGUAACACGUGGGUGAUCUGCCCUGCAUUUCGGGAUAAGCCUGGGAAACUGGGUCUAAUACCGGAUAGGACUCCUGGCUUCAUGGUUGGGGGUGGAAAGCUUUUGCGGUGUGGGAUGGGCCCGCGGCCUAUCAGCUUGUUGGUGGGGUAAUGGCCUACCAAGGCGACGACGGGUAGCCGGCCUGAGAGGGUGACCGGUCACACUGGGACUGAGAUACGGCCCAGACUACUACGGGAGGCAGCAGUGGGGAAUAUUGCACAAUGGGCGCAAGCCUGAUGCAGCGACGCCGCGUGAGGGAUGACGGCCCUCGGGUUGUAAACCUCUUUCAGCUAUGACGAAGCGCAAGUGACGGUAGUAGCAGAAGAAGGACCGGCCAACUACGUGCCAGCCGCCGCAGUAA